GAAUGGACCUUUCGUCCACGACCUUAGUUCCGGUUGGAAUUGGACCCGGUACUAAUGUAAGCAUUAGUACCAGGCCUAACGGAUAGUUCCCGAGAUAGCUCCCGUGAGCCCCUUUAGUAUCGAGUGGGAGCACCACCUGGUCACCUUUAGUACCGGAUGUACCGUGUAGAGCUCUCACCUGGUGUACUAAAGGUUCCAUCCACCCCACCCUCCCUCUCUCAAACAUUUUAUCCUCAGGCUCACACUCAUCCUCACACUUCAUCCUUCAUCCUCACACUCAUCCGCCCCCGCCCCCUCCUCUCUCUCUCUCUCUCAGAAGUUCUCACCCUCACACUUCAUCUGCCUCCCCUCCC
This 353-nucleotide long non-coding RNA is filed under the name Setaria viridis. Its description in RNAcentral is "long non-coding RNA (SVIR_LNC009753)". The record is from RNAcentral. Lineage: Eukaryota; Viridiplantae; Streptophyta; Magnoliopsida; Poales; Poaceae.